Homo sapiens (human) is the source of this 1498-nucleotide long non-coding RNA. RefSeq lists it as uncharacterized. Lineage: Eukaryota; Metazoa; Chordata; Mammalia; Primates; Hominidae. The transcript is spliced from 2 exons. The record is from RefSeq and is a predicted model, not a curated record.
GUGCCUCCCUUGCAGAACACACACAGGUGGGGAAAAGGGCUUGCAGGGGGCCUUGGGCUUAUGGGGAUAAAGAGGCAGGAACUGAGUCUGAGAACAAUAAAAACCAGGCCUGGCACUUGGUGUGGAGCAGUGACCAGGGAGAGGACUUGACCUGGGGAAGGGACAGGGCUCCAACAGGAGCCUUCUGAAGCGUGCGGGCCAGGAGGCCAACUGCAUAGGGUGGCGAGAAGGACCCAGGACCCACCCCCCGUGGCUUUCCCUUUCAGGUCUGAGUCUCUCCGUGUGCAGAAGGAGGAUUGCAUUGGCUCAGUGCUUUCCAAAGUGCUGAGGGAUUCCAGGGGCACCCACGGAGCUCCCCUGGGGCCUGUGGACGGGGGUGGGUGAGUGAGCAGGAGUCAGGUCUCCCCUCUGCACUGACCUGAGCUGCCUCAUCUUUACAUUUUACUUUUAUUUAAAGACUGUAAGCCAAAGCCAGUGUGAAGCCUCCUGAGCUGGCUGAUCUCCACAUCCCUGCCAGCACCUUAUGACCCACCAUUCUACACUGGUGGAGGGGGGCUUAUGUUAGCGCUAUUGGGACCCUGGGACAGAGUUGACAGUGAACUUUGGCAGAGGAGGAGGUACCUUUUUCGUGUGAUUAGGGAACCUGGAUUCUUUCCCUGGCCCCAGCACCGGAUGUGUACCCCAAAGAGGCUAACUCCUUGGGACUGAAGCCCAUCUGCCCACAAGAUGCAGGAGUUUGAAGGGUGCACCCCACCCUAAAGGGCACAGUCUCAUCACCCUGAAUUUCUGGGUUGGGCAAACCACUAGUUGACACAGUAUUCAGCCAUAAAGAAACAGAGAAGCUACUUCCUUGAAAUCAGUGCUACCUUGAUAAGUAUAAAUCCUGCAAGAAACCAAGGAGAAACCCAUAUGAGAUAUUAACUUGUUGGGUAGAAGGUCAGGUUCACGUUUCACAGGAUGACAAUGGCUGUGCUGUGACCCAGCAGGCUCUGUUGUAUGUGCCAAGGCCUCCCAGCUGGUCUGGGCCAGUUCUGUCCUUCCACGCCUCACUGGGAGCCACCCAUUUUGUCAAUAAGCAGCUGGUAUCCCUCUGCUUCUUAGUCAUAUGUCAUUUAUAGACUCCUGAUCUGCCCCCAGUGUCACGGCCGUUGUAGGUUCUGGAAGGAACAGAAAGCAGUCAUACACAGUGAUGGACACAUAGCAGGACUUAAAAAUGCUUGCUCUGCAACACGAAGACAACGACUGAAUGACCCCACUUCCAUGAGGUAUCUAGAGUAACCAAACUCAUAGAAACAGAAGCUAGAAGGCGGUUGCCGGGGUCCAGGGGGAGGAAAAUGGAGAACUGUUGUUCAAUGGUGAUGGAAACGCUUUGGAGAUGGGUUGUAUAACAGUGUGACUAUACUUAACACAACUGAGCCGUGCACUUAAAAAUGGUUGAUGGAAGCCCUGAAACUCUGUACGUCUAUUACGCAUCAUUAAAAAUAUUGCUCAAAAAAUA